Long non-coding RNA from Mya arenaria, 2023 nucleotides. RefSeq lists it as uncharacterized. The record is from RefSeq and is a predicted model, not a curated record. NCBI's taxonomy places the organism in Eukaryota, Metazoa, Mollusca, Bivalvia, Myida, Myidae. The transcript is spliced from 4 exons.
UUUACUAACAGUUCGUAAGUUGUGCGUAAGUUUUUACGUACAUUUUCAACUUACGUAAAUAAUACGAAUUGCGUACGUGCGUUUUACUAAAAUUUCGUAAGUGUAAAUAUUUGCGUAGGAAUAAAUAAUGCGUAACUCUCCGAUUGGAGGUAGAAAUCUCUCUUGGCGCGCACCUGUCAAAAAGAUAAACAAUGGCGACGCCGCAAAAGUUUAAAAGGAAAGAGAAUUGGUCCAGAGCAGAGCAUGAAAUGCUGAGGUAUUCAUUCCUUGAUGAAAGCCAUGCCAUUGAAAGCAAGUCCAACCAUUACUCAUGUCGAUGAAGAAAAAUCGUGGAAGAGGAAUGAAAAGAGACUGAAUGCCCAGGGUGUCUGCAUUAGAACUCUUGAUGAGUUUAAUAAGAAAUUAACCAACAUCAAGAUGGACGUGAAGAGGAGGCGUCAGAUGGCAGCGCUGACAGGUGGUGUGACUCCGUAUCUGUUCUGAUACAUAGAAGGGCCACUUCUGGCCUAUAUAUCUACGGGGUGACUCCUCCAAAGUUCAAUGAGCAGGAGGAGAAGAAACAAGUCCAUCAUCUUUGGUGCUGCACCAUACUGCCAAAACAGCUACAUGUUCAUCGUUUGCAGUUAUGUCAAUUUACCUCCAACAUAGUGUUUCCUGCAAUGUCCCAGGGGGCUGCCAUGAUUCCAAAAAGUACAACACCAACUGCAGCAAAAGUGACAAGAGUUUCCAAGAUUCCAUCUACAAGCAACUUGAAAAGACUUCUUAAAUGCCAGAGUGAGCUCUAUGAGCAAAUAUUACAUCAACAAAAACUGACAAUUGACUGUCUCCUUUAUUACAAUUUAUUUCAUGAAUGAUAACUUAAAUAAAAUGUGACUCAGCAACUGUUUUAAAUCAACAAACAUUCUAACAUAAACCUUUGAAGUCUUAUAGUAGAAUCAUAUACCUGGAAGUCUUUGAUUAUUUUAUCUACUUAAAAAACUCACAAUCCACUUAAAUAUUGCUGACACUUGAAGCUUUUCAUAUUUUAUUCACUAUUGCAUUUAAUAAAUCUUUAUUUACCUGUCAACCUAUUCAUAUUCAAGUAAUCUAAUAUUAAAAUACAUAUGGAAAAGCACUUUCAUUUAAAGUGACAUCUAUCAAACAUUGUAAUCACAAAAAAGGGGCUCAUAAUCAUACAUUUUAUGAUAUGGUAUUUUUUUACCAAUAGCUGAAUGUGUAAAUUGGUUAUUGUUUAGAGAGAUAAUAUGUCAAUUUAUUUGUUUUGUAAAUGUGUUUUUAAAUUGUUAUUUAUACUGUCAACACUAUUUAACAUAUUUAUGAUUGUCAGCCUUCAUGUACUGUUUUGUUCAUUGUUAUAAUCAUCUUCUCCAUAAGUAAUGUCAGUGAUUAUCAAAAUGAUACCGCAUCAAAUUCAUGUAUAAUCAUUUUUAAAGGGACUUGUUCAUGUUUUAUAUGGUUAGACAUUGAUUUUUUUAUUUCCUAUGAAAUGUGAACAAAAUGCUUGUAGCAAUGAUAAAACACUACAAAAGUUUAAAUAAGCUCAGAAAAUAUGGCAUAAAAUGCUUUAUUUUGCCAAAGUCAGGCUAUUUAAAAUUAAAUCAUUUUAGGCUUAGAUUUACUAUUAAAAUGUUGUUCAUAUGAUUAUAGCAGUUGCUUUUUGGUCUUUCUUCAUAAAAGUUGGUAAAAUAAUUCAAUUUCAACAAUUUGAAAAUAAAUAAUCUAUUAACAGUCCCUUUCUGAUAAUGAUUGCUACUAUUGUGUUGUUGUUUUUCAAGUUAAACUUGAUGUAAAAUGUCAAUUUUAAAUUCACACAAAUAAAGUUUUCACUUAUUUCACAGAUAGAUAUGUUUUACCUUUGUCUUUUCACUUUGUUGAAAUAAUAAUAAUGAUACAUCUAUGGAAUUCAAAUAUUAGCACAAACACAUCAUGUUAUUGAGAUAUUGAGAUGCACACUUUCUAUUUUGUAUUGAAUAAUUAAUAGAAUCCCUAGAAUGACAUUUUAUUCCUCUUGAUUGCUUUUACU